This 663-nucleotide ribosomal RNA is filed under the name Triticum aestivum (bread wheat). Its description in RNAcentral is "partial small subunit ribosomal RNA". The record is from RNAcentral. Lineage: Eukaryota; Viridiplantae; Streptophyta; Magnoliopsida; Poales; Poaceae.
AUGGCCGAGCCAGCGCGGCACCUCGCCGACGAGAUCCUGGAGGAGAUCUUCAUUCGCCUGCCCACGCCGGCCGCGCUCGCCAGCGCCUCCACCGCCAGCCCCCGUUUCCGCCGCAUCAUCACCGAGCGCCCCUUCCUCCGCCGCCUCCGCGCUCUCCAUCCGCCGCCACUCCUGGGAUUCGCCGUCGACAGACGCGCCUUCCACCACGCCCAGGAACCUCAUCCCUCCGCCCCGCUUGCCCGUGCCCUCGCCGACGGCGCGGAUUUCUCCUACUCCUUCGUUCCCAUGCCCCAGCCUAAGCCCAAUCAGGAGUUGCUCAGCCCCUGGUACCACCGUGACAUCCGCGACGGCCGCGUCCUCCUCGAGCACAGCUACAUGUUCGACAUGGGUGCUGCAGGCUUCCCAAACCUCGCGGUGUGCGAUCCCGUGUCACGGAGGUACGUGCUGCUCCCGUCCAUACCUGAGGAAAUGGCCGUCCAGCAAGAGCGCCUUGUCGAAUUCGGGCCCAUGCUUGGUCCCGCUGGCGACGAUGAGGAUGAGACCUCGUUCUCGGUGAUCUGCACGGCGUGCUACAACAGCAAGUUGGUCACAUUUGUCUUCUCUUCGGCCACCGGACAAUGGUGUGUAGCUGCAUCUCAGCUGGAGCUCUUUGGGCACAGCUGA